RNAcentral lists this ribosomal RNA (264 nucleotides) under Escherichia coli. RNAcentral's name for it is "partial 23S ribosomal RNA". It matches the Rfam family "Bacterial large subunit ribosomal RNA", at positions 2684 to 2925 of the family's 2925-position model. Lineage: Bacteria; Pseudomonadati; Pseudomonadota; Gammaproteobacteria; Enterobacterales; Enterobacteriaceae. The record is from RNAcentral.
CGAGAGGACCGGAGUGGACGCAUCACUGGUGUUCGGGUUGUCAUGCCAAUGGCACUGCCCGGUAGCUAAAUGCGGAAGAGAUAAGUGCUGAAAGCAUCUAAGCACGAAACUUGCCCCGAGAUGAGUUCUCCCUGACCCUUUAAGGGUCCUGAAGGAACGUUGAAGACGACGACGUUGAUAGGCCGGGUGUGUAAGCGCAGCGAUGCGUUGAGCUAACCGGUACUAAUGAACCGUGAGGCUUAACCUUACAACGCCGAAGCUGUU